This 1971-nucleotide ribosomal RNA is filed under the name Gammaproteobacteria bacterium RIFCSPLOWO2_01_FULL_47_190. RNAcentral describes it as "bacterial LSU rRNA". It matches the Rfam family "Bacterial large subunit ribosomal RNA", at positions 1 to 1995 of the family's 2925-position model. Lineage: Bacteria; Pseudomonadati; Pseudomonadota; Gammaproteobacteria. The record is from RNAcentral.
GUUAUAUGGUCAAGUGAUUAAGCGCAUACGGUGAAUGCCUAGGCGACAAGAGGCGAUGAAGGACGUGGUAGCCUGCGAAAAGCUCCGGAGAGUCGGCAAACUGACUUUGACCCGGAGAUGUCCGAAUGGGGAAACCCACCGCGCAAGCGGUAUCCUCAGCUGAAUACAUAGGCUGUGGAAGCUAACCCAGGGAACUGAAACAUCUAAGUACCUGGAGGAAAAGAAAUCAACCGAGAUUCCCUUAGUAGCGGCGAGCGAACGGGGACCAGCCCUAAAGUGCUGGUGUGGCUAGUGGAACGCUCUGGAAAGUGCGGCCAUAGCGGGUGACAGCCCCGUACACGAAAGCCUAUCCAGUAUUAUUCGAGUAAGCCGGGACACGAGACAUCCUGACUGAACAUGGGGGGACCAUCCUCCAAGGCUAAAUACUCCUUGUCGACCGAUAGUGAACCAGUACCGUGAGGGAAAGGCGAAAAGAACCCCGGAGAGGGGAGUGAAAUAGAACCUGAAACCGUAUGCGUACAAGCUGUAGGAGCAUGCUUCGGCAUGUGACUGCGUACCUUUUGUAUAAUGGGUCAGCGACUUACUUCUCAGUGGCAAGCUUAACCAAUAGGGUAGGCGUAGGGAAACCGAGUCUGAAUAGGGCGUCAUAGUCGCUGGGAGUAGACCCGAAACCGGUGCGAUCUAUCCAUGGCCAGGGUGAAGGUGGGGUAAUACCUACUGGAGGCCCGAACCGGGGAACGUUGAAAAGUUCUCGGAUGAGCUGUGGAUAGGAGUGAAAGGCUAAUCAAGCCCGGAGAUAGCUGGUUCUCCUCGAAAGCUAUUUAGGUAGCGCCUCGUGUAUCACUUCUGGGGGUAGAGCACUGUUAUGGCUAGGGGGUCAUCCCGACUUACCAAACCAUUGCAAACUCCGAAUACCAGAAAGUGCAAGCACGGGAGACACACGGCGGGUGAUAAAAUCCGUCGUGAAAAGGGAAACAACCCAGACCGUCAGCUAAGGUCCCAAAAUCACAGCUCAGUGGAAAACGAUGUGGGAAGGCCCAGACAGCCAGGAGGUUGGCUUAGAAGCAGCCAUCCUUUAAAGAAAGCGUAACAGCUCACUGGUCGAGUCGGCCUGCGCGGAAGAUAUAACGGGGCUCAAGCUGUGUACCGAAGCUACGGGAUUAUGUGUCCUCGGACAUAUGAUCGGUAGAGGAGCGUUCUGUAAGCCGUUGAAGGUGGAUCGUAAGGUCUGCUGGAGGUAUCAGAAGUGCGAAUGCUGACAUGAGUAGCGAUAAUGCGGGUGAAAAACCCGCACGCCGAAAACCCAAGGUUUCCUGCGCGACGCUAAUCGGCGCAGGGUGAGUCGGUACCUAAGGCGAGGCCGAAAGGCGUAGUCGAUGGAUAACAGGUUAAUAUUCCUGUACCUCGUAUGAUUGCGAUGGGGCGACGGAGAAGGCUAGUUCAGCCGGGUGUUGGUUGUCCCGGUUUAAGCGUGUAGGGAGUAUCCUUUGGAAAAUCCGGGGAUAUAAUCCUGAGACGUGAUGACGAGUCCCUCUUUGAGGGACGAAGUGAUUGAUGCCAUGCUUCCUGGAAAAACCUCUAAGCUUCAGAUUGUACGAGACCGUACCCCAAACCAACACAGGUGGGUGAGGAGAGAAUCCUAAGGCGCUUGAGAGAACUCGGGUGAAGGAACUCGGCAAAAUAACACCGUAACUUCGGGAGAAGGUGUGCCCCCAUUACGUAAAAGCCCUGCGGCUGGAGCGGAAGGGGGUUGCAGUGACCAGGUGGCUGCGACUGUUUACUAAAAACACAGCACUCUGCAAACACGUAAGUGGACGUAUAGGGUGUGACGCCUGCCCGGUGCCGGAAGGUUAAUUGAUGGGGUUAGUCCUCGGACGAAGCUCUUGAUCGAAGCCCCGGUAAACGGCGGCCGUAACUAUAACGGUCCUAAGGUAGCGAAAUUCCUUGUCGGGUAAGUUCCGACCUGCACGA